Lycium ferocissimum is the source of this 3376-nucleotide RNA transcript. It is a transcript of the gene named protein CROWDED NUCLEI 1-like, with no coding region annotated. The record is from RefSeq and is a predicted model, not a curated record. The transcript has 5 exons. Lineage: Eukaryota; Viridiplantae; Streptophyta; Magnoliopsida; Solanales; Solanaceae.
AUUAGAUAUACAAGGACUAUAGUUGCCUUUUUCUCCUCUUUUUGGAGAUAUCUUGAUUGAUUUUACUUGACUCCCUCUCUACUGUUUCAUCAGGAAAGAAGUGCAUGAAGCGAGAUUUUCCAAGCACAAGGAGGAUUUUAGGGAGUGGGAAAGGAAGCUGCAAGAAAAGGAAGAGAAACUAUGUCAAGGACGGAGGAGCCUCAAUGAAAGAGAAGAAAAGGUGAAUGAUUUGGAUGUGGCUCACAAGCAUAAGGAAAAGAGUCUUAAAGAAGAACAGAAAAGGAUUUAUCCAUCUAAUAUAGCUCUGAAGAAAAGAGAUGAUGAUAUAACUCAAGGAGGUUGCAGAUGUGACUAAAAAGGAACAAGAGUUAGAGUCUUACAGAGCUGAAUUGGAGAUAAAGGAGAUGGAAUUGAAUUUUCUGGCUGAGAAGCUGAACACUAGAGAAAGGUUGAAGAUUCAGAAGCUUCUUGAUGAACUUAGAGCUGAUUUUGAUGCUGAACAACAGGAACAUAAGUUGGAUUUGAAUAAAAGGAGAAAUUUGUUUGACAGAGCUGAGAGAGAAGUUUGAUGGUUUGACACAAAGGGAAAUGGAUCUCAACCAUUCAGAGGGAAAACUCAUAGAAAGGGAGCAACCACUGGAAACUGAGUUAGAAAGGUUUAAAGAGAGAGAAAAGGACAUUGAGAGGAAGUUGAAAGCAGUAAAAGCUAAGAGAGAGAAAAGUUUCUCAAAGCCGAGGAGAAAACGCUGGAGUUGGUGAGAAAGGGAACAGUUUCUGAUAAACAAAGUGAGCUAAAUCUCAAAGAUGAGCUGUAUAAGGUAAGAGUUGAAUUUAGUCAGAAGGAACUCGAUGUUUCUGAAGCAACUGAAAAAAUUAAAGUUAGUGAAGUAGAAAGGGCUGAGCUUCUCCGGUUGCAAAUAGAGUUGAAAAGGGAGAUUCAUAGGUACAAACAUCAGCAAGAGUUGAUUUUGAAGGAGGGUGAAGAUCUGAAAGAAGACAAAAUGGUGUUCGAAAAACAGUGGGAAGCACUGGAUGAGAAGAGAACUGUUGUAACUAUAGAGUUGCAAGAACUCCAAGAAGAAAAAAGAGGCUUGAUGACUUGCGACAUACCCAAGACGAACAAUUGAGGAAAAAUAAGCUUUCCACUGAGGAUUAUGUCAGGCGAGAGUGUGAAGCUCUUAAGUUGGAGAAAGAAUCAUUUUCUGCAACAAUGAAGUACGAACAAUUAUUGUUAACUGAGAAAGCUGAAAAUGAACAUAACAUAUUGCUUUGUGAUUUUGAGGCUCAGAGAAGAGAUCUUGAGACUGAUCUGCAGAAUAAACAGGAAGAAAUGCACAAAAGUUUUGAAUGGAAGGAAAAAUCACUUCAUGACCAGAGAGAGAAAGCACUUGAUGAAAUUAGUUCUUUGAAAGAAGUUACUCAGAAGGAAAUGGACGACAUAAGAGCUGAAAGGUUUAGGUUAGAGAAAGAAAAACAAGACAUGGAAUUGAAUAAGAAGCAGUUGGAAAAUCACCAAUAUGAACUGCACAAGGACAUAGAUGCUCUAGGUGUUCUUAACAAGAAGCUCCAGGAGCAGCGCCUACAGUUUGUGAAGGAGAGACGCCAUUUUCUUGCAUCUGUUGAAAAGAUCAAGGACUGUGAAGAUUGCGGGGGAAUUGCUAGAGAGUAUGCCUCUUCUAACUUUCCAUUGGGCGAAAUAGGUGAUAAUGAAGAGUCUCUUCUUUCUCUGCCGGGAGACGAACUUACGGAAAAAGUUGCUUCUUUCGGAGAAAAUUUUGAGAGAUCUCCUGCUGAGAUUGAACGAAAAUAUUCUGAUUCUGGGAUUUCUUGGUUCCGCAAAUGCACUGCAAAGAUUCUUAGCUUGUCCCCAAAUAGAAAAGCUCUGGUCAUGGAUUCAUCUUGGCAACCUUCCGAGCCUUGUAAGAUAUUUGGUACAGAAAUAAGAGACCAAAAUAUAGCUGAAGGUCCAAGUGUGAAGCAUCUACCACCUGACAACAGUAUCGGAGGUAUGAGGCGUACAACUGUUGAUUAUCAAAGUGACAUGGAUAGUAGAAUACAAGAGGUUCGAGAGGAAUCCGAGCAAUCUGAGCCUAGAAAAAGAUCUGGAAAGGGAAUUCGUCGAACACGUUCUGUGAAGGCAGUGAUUGAAGAAGCUGCGGUUUUCCUUGGAAAGAAUGCUGAACUAUUGCCAAAUGACGGACGUCCUAAAGAUAUUAGUCAGACUGUCAAAGUAGGGGUGAUUUUAGAGUUGCUGGAACAGCAGCCAUUACCAUCCCAAAGAAGAUGACUAGCGGACAAAUUUCUCGAACAACAGUGACUGAUAUUGAUGCUAAUGAUAGUGAGGGUCAUUCUGAAAGUGUCACGACGGUGGGACGGAGGAAGAGGUGUCAACCAUCCACUUCAACUGUGCAAAAUCCUGGGAAGAGGCAUUAUAAUCUCAGACGACACAAGAUGUAAGUAGCAGUUUUCUGAAUGUGCAUAAAGUAAUUAAGCGUAGAGACGAAGAUAGCCGAUCAAUCUGCAGGUGGUGAGAAGAGUAAAGAUGCGGAAAUACAUUAUAAGGAUCGUCCUUUUCAAGCAGUAGGGAAAGAUGAAGUUGCUUCCUUUCAAGCAGUGAAAAUAGGGAAUGAGAAUGGCAGCCAAACUUCCUUGGUGCAUGUUACAUCGUAUAGGAGCACUAAAAAUCAAAAUUUACCUGUAGAUAGGGUUGUCAGGGUAAAGUAUUCGCUCUAAGGCGUCAUGCUGUUUGUUAUUUAUUUGUUUUUUCCAGGAUGCCCCAAUGUUUUUCUCUUUCUUGCUAUUGAUACUGUUUAAGACACUGCAGGAUGGCAUAAAUGUAAAUGGUGAUGCAGCAAAGUUUGUGGAGAAGAGGGAUCUAACAAAAAAGUUAAAGUAUACUCUUGAGUACUGCGGUGAAGAUGAACUUAAAGAGAACACUCUCGAGGAUGAUGAGAAUAAUAGCGAUGAGGAUGAGGAUGACAUGAGUAAACUCGAAUCUGAGCGCCGAGGUAGAGGGUCCAUUAGUAGAAAGGUGUGGCAGUUUUUUACAUCAUGAUGGUUGUCUCUUGAGUUUGCUCACAUCUCACUCUUUCAAUUUCUGAUGUAAUGUACAAGAAAUUCAAAAUUAGUGAACUUGAUAAGUUAGUAGUGUUAGGUAGCCCAUAAGUAUGUAGAUGGAUUAGCUGUUAUUGCCAACCUAUUAGAUUGUGCUUGAUGCUUCUAAAAAACUGUUGUGAAUUAAAGGGUCUAUUCGUAAUUCCUUUUUCCCCUUGAAACAGCCUAAAUUGCAAGUUUAUGCUUCAUGUAUUGAAGCAUGAUUGCUUGUGUAGAAUAUUGUGCUGAUUUUGUUUCCUUUAUUAGUGCAUAAUUAGUUGUA